Molecule: ribosomal RNA, 460 nt
Filed under: uncultured bacterium
Lineage: Bacteria
Description: partial 16S ribosomal RNA
Rfam family: Bacterial small subunit ribosomal RNA
Source: RNAcentral
CCUACGGGAGGCAGCAGUGAGGAAUAUUGGUCAAUGGGCGGAAGCCUGAACCAGUCAAGUCGCGUGAGGGAUUAAGGCCCUGCGGGUCGUAAACCUCUUUUGCCGGGGAGCAGAGGUCCGGACGUGUCCGGGCCGGGAUAGUACCCGGAGAAAAAGCAUCGGCUAACUCCGUGCCCGCAGCCGCGGUAAUCCGGGGGAUGCGAGCGUUAUCCGGAUUUAUUGGGUUUAAGGGGUGCGUAGGCGGGCAUUUAAUCCGGCGGUCAAAUGUCGGGGCUCAACCCCGGCCUGCCGUCGGAACUGGGUGCCUUGAGUGGGCGAGAAGUAUGCGGAAUGCGUGGUGGAGCGGUGAAAUGCAUAGAUAUCACGCAGAACCCCGAUUGCGAAGGCAGCAUACCGGCGCCCUACUGACGCUGAGGCACGAAAGUGCGGGUAUCGAACAGGAUUAGAUACACCUGUAGUC